GCAGCGACAUUCAUACCCAAGACUAGGCUAUUAUAAGUAAAUUUCAGAAUCACAAUUUUUGUUAAAAGAAAACUUUAAAAAAUGCUUGUGUAUAAUCUGCAGAAAAUUGUAUCCCACUCCAAACGGUGGGGAAUUCACUUUAGUGUUGGGUACAAUUGGGUGUACAUUUUUUAAAAAGAAAAGGUAUUUUCUUGAGCUUCGGAUUGUGAUGAUGGAUUUGAAAAUGUGAGCACAGCAGAUAUUUCAGAAGCUAGGUGCGGGAUGUUACCAAGAUUUUAAUGGCUGGAAUGUUAGCACUUUGUCCCUCCCCAUAAUCUGCAGCAUUAAAUAAAACAAGAAAAGUAUAUGCAGAAAUGGCUUAAUUGGUUUUCUUUAUAUACAAGGCGGGGGUUAACUCUGUCCAGCAUAUAGAUAAGAGUCAUGCAACCCAAAUAAGGAGUAAUAUUUGGGUUAGGCAUAGUUCCAAGCCAGCCAAGAACCUAAAAAACUUGAGGCCAUAAACAUACUAACCUUUUUUUUUAUCAUAUCAGAAGCGACUUGAGAACAUACUGCAAGUCGCUUCUGGUGUGAGAGAAUCGACUCUCUACAGAGACGUUGCCCAGGGGAUGCCCGGAUGUGUUGGGAGGCUCCUUUCAUGUCCGUGCAAGCUAGAGCUGACAAACAGGAGCUCAUCCCGUCAUAUGGAUUCAAACCGGCAACCUUCAUAGAAUCAUAGAGUUGGAAGAGACCCUGUGGGCCAUCCAGCCCAACCCCCUGCCGAGAAGCAGGAAAAUCACAUUCAAAGCACCCCCAAUAGGUGGCCACCCAGCCUCUCCUUAAAAGCCUCCAAAGAAGGAGCCUUCACCACACUCCAGGGCAGAGAACAGCUCUCACUGUCAGGAAGUUCUUCCUAAUGUUCAGGUGGAAUCUCCUUUCUGUAGUUUGAAGCCAUUGUUCUGUGUCCUAAUCUCCAGGGCAGCAGAAAACAAGCUUGCUUUCUCCUCCCUAAAGAUUGGGUCAGCAACCCAACCUUCAAGUCACCAGUCCUGCCAGCACAAGGGUUUAAUCCACUGCGCCACCAGGGACUCCACAGAUUAUGUGCUUUAAAACGGAUUAUAUC
Molecule: long non-coding RNA, 1099 nt
Filed under: Anolis carolinensis (green anole)
Lineage: Eukaryota; Metazoa; Chordata; Lepidosauria; Squamata; Anolidae
Description: lncRNA (ENSACAG00000037624.1)
Source: RNAcentral